GUCCACGCCCUAAACGAUGCUUACUCGAUGUAUGGCACUAGUUGUUGUGCGUCCAAGGGAAACCGUUAAGUAAGCCACCUGGGGAGUACGACCGCAAGGUUGAAACUCAAAGGAAUUGACGGGGUCCGCACAAGCGGUGGAGCAUGUGGUUUAAUUCGAUGAUACGCGAGGAACCUUACCUGGGCUAGAAUGCGAGUGACAGGCCGCGAAAGCGGUCCUUCCUUCGGGGACACAAAGCAAGGUGCUGCAUGGCUGUCGU
RNAcentral lists this ribosomal RNA (259 nucleotides) under uncultured bacterium. Its description in RNAcentral is "partial 16S ribosomal RNA". It matches the Rfam family "Bacterial small subunit ribosomal RNA", at positions 793 to 1055 of the family's 1533-position model. The record is from RNAcentral.